CUUUACAGAAACUCACCACAGAGGAGUCUAACCGUCAGCCUCACAUUGCUACAGAACAGUCUGUCCAGGAAAACAAUGAAGGGCAACUUAUCCCGACUGCCCUCGACAACCUCUCCGUGCAACACUCAGCCGUCUUCCUGUUCGGUUGCCAGGUGAUGCAGUUGCUUGCGAACAGCCACCUGUUCCCCCCUGUGCUUCUCCUAAUGGCCAAGUCGAUACCUGUUCCUUUAUCUUCCCCAAAUGAGGGUCUGCUGACACAUUGUUCAAGGGACUUUUAUUUUGAUGCAUCCAAUCAAAUCCUUUAUCUGUCAGAGGAAAAGCUUCAUCACGUUGGACAUUUCAUCGCCCUCAUUCUGCAGUCCAUGGCCUACAUAGUGUCAGGAUCCAAACCUCUGAGUUUCAUGGAAGCCCUUCAUGAGGCAAUAUCAGCUUUAAGCCUUCAGCUGUUCAACGUUUCUUUCAAAUGGAACACACCAGGGUCAAAUUCCAACGCUUCAGAGGGGCAGCAUAGUGCAUUAGUGGA
Long non-coding RNA from Gasterosteus aculeatus aculeatus (three-spined stickleback), 523 nucleotides. The record is from Ensembl. NCBI's taxonomy places the organism in Eukaryota, Metazoa, Chordata, Actinopteri, Perciformes, Gasterosteidae.